Molecule: ribosomal RNA, 496 nt
Filed under: uncultured bacterium
Lineage: Bacteria
Description: partial 16S ribosomal RNA
Rfam family: Bacterial small subunit ribosomal RNA
Source: RNAcentral
GAUGAACGCUGGCGGCGUGCCUAAUACAUGCAAGUCGAGCGAACAGACGAGGAGCUUGCUCCUCUGACGUUAGCGGCGGACGGGUGAGUAACACGUGGAUAACCUACCUAUAAGACUGGGAUAACUUCGGGAAACCGGAGCUAAUACCGGAUAAUAUAUUGAACCGCAUGGUUCAAUAGUGAAAGACGGUUUUGCUGUCACUUAUAGAUGGAUCCGCGCCGCAUUAGCUAGUUGGUAAGGUAACAGCUACCAAGGCAACGAUGCGUAGCCGACCUGAGAGGGUGAUCGGCCACACUGGAACUGAGACACGGUCCAGACUCCUACGGGAGGCAGCAGUAGGGAAUCUUCCGCAAUGGGCGAAAGCCUGACGGAGCAACGCCGCGUGAGUGAUGAAGGUCUUCGGAUCGUAAAACUCUGUUAUUAGGGAAGAACAAAUGUGUAAGUAACUAUGCACGUCUUGACGGUACCUAAUCAGAAAGCCACGGCUAACUACGUG